CACCCGUUCCCAUUCCGAACACGGAAGUUAAGCUCUUCAGCGCCGAUGGUAGUUGGGACUUUGUCCCUGUGAGAGUAGGACGUCGCCAAGC
Molecule: ribosomal RNA, 91 nt
Filed under: Bacillus suaedaesalsae
Lineage: Bacteria; Bacillati; Bacillota; Bacilli; Caryophanales; Bacillaceae
Source: RNAcentral